CGAGUCGGUCAGACGAUCGCUUUCCGGUAUUUACCGGGGGGAGGAAAGUCCGGGCUCCAUAGGGCAGGGUGCCAGGUAACGCCUGGGGGGUGCGAGCCCACGGAAAGUGCAGCAGAAAGUAAACCGCCUUUGCGGUUCUUGUUUUCAAGACCAAAAAGGUAAGGGUGAAAUGGUGCGGUAAGAGCGCACCGCGCGGCUGGCAACAGGCGCGGCGAUGGUAAACCCCACCCGGAGCAAGACCAAAUAGGAAUCCUAUAGCCGUGGCCCACGGUGGAUUCGGGUAGGUCGCUUCAGGCAGCUGGUGACAGCUGUCGCAGAUGAAUGGUCGUCCACGACAGAACCCGGCUUAUCGACCGACUCACCUU
Molecule: non-coding RNA, 365 nt
Organism: marine gamma proteobacterium HTCC2148
Lineage: Bacteria; Pseudomonadati; Pseudomonadota; Gammaproteobacteria; Cellvibrionales; Halieaceae
Rfam family: Bacterial RNase P class A
About the family: Ribonuclease P (RNase P) is a ubiquitous endoribonuclease, found in archaea, bacteria and eukarya as well as chloroplasts and mitochondria. Its best characterised activity is the generation of mature 5'-ends of tRNAs by cleaving the 5'-leader elements of precursor-tRNAs. Cellular RNase Ps are ribonucleoproteins.
Source: Rfam